Molecule: ribosomal RNA, 497 nt
Filed under: uncultured bacterium
Lineage: Bacteria
Description: partial 16S ribosomal RNA
Rfam family: Bacterial small subunit ribosomal RNA
Source: RNAcentral
GACGAACGCUGGCGGCGUGCCUAAUACAUGCAAGUUGAGCGAUGAAGAUUGGUGCUUGCACCAAUUUGAAGAGCAGCGAACGGGUGAGUAACGCGUGGGGAAUCUGCCUUUGAGCGGGGGACAACAUUUGGAAACGAAUGCUAAUACCGCAUAACAACUUUAAACAUAAGUUUUAAGUUUGAAAGAUGCAAUUGCAUCACUCAAAGAUGAUCCCGCGUUGUAUUAGCUAGUUGGUGAGGUAAAGGCUCACCAAGGCGAUGAUACAUAGCCGACCUGAGAGGGUGAUCGGCCACAUUGGCACUGAGACACGGCCCAAACUCCUACGGGAGGCAGCAGUAGGGAAUCUUCGGCAAUGGACGAAAGUCUGACCGAGCAACGCCGCGUGAGUGAAGAAGGUUUUCGGAUCGUAAAACUCUGUUGGUAGAGAAGAACGUUGGUGAGAGUGGAAAGCUCAUCAAGUGACGGUAACUACCCAGAAAGGGACGGCUAACUACGUG